Molecule: ribosomal RNA, 582 nt
Filed under: Anophthalmus schatzmayri
Lineage: Eukaryota; Metazoa; Arthropoda; Insecta; Coleoptera; Carabidae
Description: partial 16S ribosomal RNA
Rfam family: Bacterial large subunit ribosomal RNA (bases 340-498)
Source: RNAcentral
AAUGGCUGCAGUAAUAUAACUGUACAAAGGUAGCAUAAUCAUUAGUUUUUUAAUUAAAAGCUUGUAUGAAAGGUUGGACGAAGUAAAAUCUGUCUCUUUUUAAUGUAAUUAGAAUUUAAUUUUUAAGUAAAAAAGCUUAAAUUUUUUUAAAAGACGAGAAGACCCUAUAGAGUUUAAUAAUUUAUUUUAAAUAAUUAAUUUAGAUUUAUUUAUUUUAUUUAUUUUAAAAUUAUUUUAUUGGGGUAAUAGAAAGAUUAAUAUAAUUCUUUUUUUUUAUUUACAUUAAUAUAUGAAUUAAAUGAUCCAUUUUUUAUGAUUAAAAGAUUAAAUUACCUUAGGGAUAACAGCGUAAUUUUUUUAAAGAGUUCAUAUCGAUAAAAAAGUUUGCGACCUCGAUGUUGGAUUAAAGAUUAAUUUAGGUGUAGAAGUUUAAAUUUUUGGUCUGUUCGACCAUUAAAUCUUUACAUGAUCUGAGUUCAAACCGGUGUAAGCCAGGUUGGUUUCUAUCUUUAAAGAAUUUUUAUAUUUUAGUACGAAAGGACCAGAUAUUUAAUAUAUUAAAUAUUUAAUUAUUUUGAAUAU